ACGUAGGGGGCAAGCGUUGUCCGGAAUGAUUGGGCGUAAAGGGCGCGUAGGCGGCCUUGUAAGUCCGAUGUGAAAUUCCUGCUUUUAAGGUAGGAAUUGCAUUGGAAACUGUAGGGCUUGAGUGCAGGAGAGGUAAGCGGAAUUCCCGGUGUAGCGGUGAAAUGCGUAGAGAUCGGGAGGAACACCAGUGGCGAAGGCAGCUUACUGGACUGUAUCUGACGCUGAGGCGCGAAAGUGUGGUGAGCAAACAG
RNAcentral lists this ribosomal RNA (251 nucleotides) under uncultured prokaryote. RNAcentral describes it as "partial 16S rRNA". It matches the Rfam family "Bacterial small subunit ribosomal RNA", at positions 525 to 775 of the family's 1533-position model. The record is from RNAcentral.